Molecule: ribosomal RNA, 467 nt
Filed under: uncultured bacterium
Lineage: Bacteria
Description: bacterial SSU rRNA
Rfam family: Bacterial small subunit ribosomal RNA
Source: RNAcentral
CCCUUAGAGUUUGAUCCUGGCUCAGAAUGAACGUUGGCGACGUGGAUUAGGCAUGCAAGUCGGACGGGGCCGCAAGGUACCCGUGGCGCAAGGGUGAGUAAGGCGACGGUAACCAACCCCGGGGCUGGCCAUAGCCGAGGGAAACCUCGGGUAAUUGCCAGCGACGCACUGCGGCGGCAUCGCCGCGGUGCCAAAGGUGAGAUUCCGCCCCGGGACGGGCCGUCGUGGUAUCAGGUUGUUGGCGGGGUAGCGGCCCACCAAGCCUCUGACGCCUACCGGGCGUGCGAGCGUGGCCCGGCACACUGGGACUGAGACACUGCCCAGACUCCUACGGGAGGCUGCAGUCGAGAAUCUUCGGCAAUGGGCGCAAGCCUGACCGAGCGACGUCGCGUGGAGGACGAAGGCCUUCGGGUUGUAAACUCCUGUCGGGGGGGAACAAGGGCCGGCGAAGAGCCGGACUUGAGUGA